UCUGGUGGACGUGAUGACAUUUUUUCCCCGUCAGAGCGACAGUGUUGAUUUCUCACUGUUCAAGCCAAAUCGUGUCUGAUGCACCAGA
This 88-nucleotide small nucleolar RNA is filed under the name Accipiter nisus (Eurasian sparrowhawk). RNAcentral describes it as "Small nucleolar SNORD12/SNORD106 (ENSANIG00000006604.1)". It matches the Rfam family "Small nucleolar SNORD12/SNORD106". From Rfam's summary of the family: This family belong to the C/D class of snoRNA which contain the C (UGAUGA) and D (CUGA) box motifs. This family includes the human ortholog of mouse snoRNA HBII-99 and human snoRNA U106. Lineage: Eukaryota; Metazoa; Chordata; Aves; Accipitriformes; Accipitridae. The record is from Rfam by way of RNAcentral.